UACGGGGGGAGCAAGCGUUGUUCGGAUUUACUGGGCGUAAAGGGCGCGUAGGCGGUCAGCACAAGUCAGUUGUGAAAUCUCCGGGCUUAACUCGGAAAGGUCAACUGAUACUGUGCGACUAGAGUGCGGAAGGGGCAACUGGAAUUCUCGGUGUAGCGGUGAAAUGCGUAGAUAUCCUGAGGAACACAGGUGGCGAAAGCGGCGCGCUGGAUCCCUUCUGACGCUGAGGCGCGAAAGCCAGGGGAGCAAACGGG
RNAcentral lists this ribosomal RNA (254 nucleotides) under uncultured bacterium. RNAcentral describes it as "partial 16S ribosomal RNA". It matches the Rfam family "Bacterial small subunit ribosomal RNA", at positions 524 to 776 of the family's 1533-position model. The record is from RNAcentral.